Molecule: non-coding RNA, 107 nt
Filed under: Chryseobacterium fistulae
Lineage: Bacteria; Pseudomonadati; Bacteroidota; Flavobacteriia; Flavobacteriales; Weeksellaceae
Description: Chryseobacterium sp. CECT 9393 SAM
Rfam family: SAM riboswitch aptamer (S box leader)
About the family: The SAM riboswitch is found upstream of a number of genes which code for proteins involved in methionine or cysteine biosynthesis in Gram-positive bacteria. The SAM riboswitch acts at the level of transcription termination control. The predicted structure consists of a complex stem-loop region followed by a single stem loop terminator region.
Source: RNAcentral
AUGUUAUCCAGAAAGGUUGAGGGAAUAGACCCGAUGAAACCUUAGCAACCCUUUGUGAAAGCAAAGAAGGUGCUACGUUCUACCAAAAUAAUUUGGACAGAUAACUU